UCAAAUACUGUAAGUAUGACAUUUAUGAUUUAUAGUAUUUGACUACAUAUCAUCAAAUAGUUAUGGAGUCACAGGGCUUUCUUCACCGACAUUUUAGAUUGACUAAGUACAUCUUAAACUCGCUACUCAAAUCGUUUAAUAAUAUUUUUGUCAAUCGCACUCGUUGAUAAUGCAAUCCAAAUAUAAGUUGACCAAAUCAAUUGUGAGGUGGUUGUGCACUCGUCAUUGUUCCUGCAUAAAUACUACCACUUUGAGGAUUUUUGAAACGUGACAAAUGUAAUGAAACUGUACACCGGUAGCUUGCUACGCUGGAAUUCACUACAAAGGUCAAGUGAAAUACAGAAAACACGAGUAUGACCUCAUCGGAGUACAAGUUUUAAGAUAUCCAUCCUACGGGGAACCUAAACAAAUAUAACAUGUCAUUUUUCGAGAGCAAUGAUGGCAGGUAGUGCCAAAUACAUUACUCGUAUCAUUAAGUUGUGUCCAAGAUUCAAAGGAGACAUUUGAGAAUACUUAUAUAUGUACUGACAUCACCUGAAUUGUAACUAUGAACCAACAAAGUUGUAGACAGUCCUCUACGUGGACAUUUCACUCAGAAGUGCCAUAACAAUGACCACAACUGUUGAUUGAACAUAAUUAUGUAACUCAGGAUUGUUGUCAUUGCCCAUCAUUGCGGAAAUAAACCAUCAAUCAACAUAAUUAUUCACAAAAUUGUUUUUCUGCUAACAGUAUAUCAUAUGAAUCCAAUAAAAACAAAAUGAGCCCUUUAAAGGCUUCCUCUGCAAAAA
This 788-nucleotide long non-coding RNA is filed under the name Acyrthosiphon pisum (pea aphid). RNAcentral's name for it is "uncharacterized LOC100575064, transcript variant X3". The record is from RNAcentral. Lineage: Eukaryota; Metazoa; Arthropoda; Insecta; Hemiptera; Aphididae.